GCUGGGUGUGGUGGCUCACACCUGUAAUCCCAACACUUUGGGAGGCCGAGGCAGGUGGAUUGCCUGAGGUCAGGAGUUCAAGACCAGCCUGGCCAAUAUGGCGAAACCCUGUCUCUA
RNAcentral lists this non-coding RNA (117 nucleotides) under Chlorocebus sabaeus (green monkey). The record is from Rfam by way of RNAcentral. Lineage: Eukaryota; Metazoa; Chordata; Mammalia; Primates; Cercopithecidae.